AGAAGUCGUAACAAGGUUUCCGUAGGUGAACCAGCGGAAGGAUCAUUG
RNAcentral lists this ribosomal RNA (48 nucleotides) under Lespedeza patens. RNAcentral describes it as "partial 18S ribosomal RNA". It matches the Rfam family "Eukaryotic small subunit ribosomal RNA", at positions 1784 to 1831 of the family's 1831-position model. The record is from RNAcentral. RNAcentral also lists the same sequence under 1 other name. Lineage: Eukaryota; Viridiplantae; Streptophyta; Magnoliopsida; Fabales; Fabaceae.